CCUACGGGGGGCAGCAGUGGGGAAUAUUGCACAAUGGGGGAAACCCUGAUGCAGCGACGCCGCGUGAGUGAAGAAGUAUUUCGGUAUGUAAAGCUCUAUCAGCAGGGAAGAAAAUGACGGUACCUGAGUAAGAAGCCCCGGCUAACUACGUGCCAGCAGCCGCGGUAAUUCGUAGGGGGCAAGCGUUAUCCGGAUUUACUGGGUGUAAGGGGAGCGUAGACGGCAGCGCAAGUCUGAAGUGAAAUCCAGUGGCUCAACCAUGGAACUGCAUUGGAAACUGUGCGGCUGGAGUGCAGGAGAGGUAAGCGGAAUUCCUAGUGUAGCGGUGAAAUGCGUAGAUAUUAGGAGGAACACCAGUGGCGAAGGCGGCUUACUGGACUGUAACUGACGUUGAGGCUCGAAAGCGUGGGGAGCAAACAGGAUUAGAUACCCCAGUAGUC
RNAcentral lists this ribosomal RNA (440 nucleotides) under uncultured bacterium. RNAcentral's name for it is "partial 16S ribosomal RNA". It matches the Rfam family "Bacterial small subunit ribosomal RNA", at positions 338 to 795 of the family's 1533-position model. The record is from RNAcentral.